Molecule: ribosomal RNA, 433 nt
Filed under: uncultured bacterium
Lineage: Bacteria
Description: partial 16S ribosomal RNA
Rfam family: Bacterial small subunit ribosomal RNA
Source: RNAcentral
AACGAACGCUGGCGGCAUGCCUAACACAUGCAAGUCGAACGAGACCUUCGGGUCUAGUGGCGCACGGGUGCGUAACGCGUGGGAACCUGCCCUUAUGUUCGGAAUAACUCCCCGAAAGGGGUGCUAAUACCGGAUAAUGUCUUCGGACCAAAGAUUUAUCGCCUUUGGAUGGGCCCGCGUUGGAUUAGAUAGUUGGUAGGGUAAAAGCCUACCAAGGCGACGAUCCAUAGCUGGUCUGAGAGGAUGAUCAGCCACACUGGGACUGAGACACGGCCCAGACUCCUACGGGAGGCAGCAGUGGGGAAUAUUGGACAAUGGGCGAAAGCCUGAUCCAGCAAUGCCGCGUGAGUGAUGAAGGCCUUAGGGUUGUAAAGCUCUUUUACCCGGGAUGAUAAUGACAGUACCGGGAGAAUAAGCUCCGGCUAACUCCGUG